UAAAUUUUCAUUUUACCGCUCUAUAAAAAACCCUAGAAAUCUAUUCAGAUCCCCAAUUCCCCCUUUUGCCUCUCAUCCUCCUCCGCUCAAACUCCCUCUCCUCCCCUCUCACCUCCUUCUCUGUGACCAGGCCUAGCCGCCGCCCGAGUCCGCUAUCCCCCUCGGCCUCCCUCCUCCGCUAGUGGUCCCGUAGGGUCUCUAGCGUCCGCCAAGUGCUCGCUUUCUUCGCCUCCCUCUCCCCCCUUGACUCCGCCACCUUCUCCUUCCCCGUCUUAAUGGAUUGCUCUGCUCCUCCAAUUCCACCACCACCCCAUUAAGCCCUUCGCUUCGGGCCAAUGAGGCCCACGAUGGCCCAUCGGACUUCAAGUCCUACCUGCAGUACUCGGACUUCACUAACUACAUGUGUCCGGCACCGGCUUCUCCUCCUCCUUCAAGAACUACUCCGACGGCGAUCAACACCUUCUGCCGCUACAGCCGUGACUCCGUCGGCGACGAGGACUCCUCGCCUUCUGCUCCGUCUGCGGGAACGUCGUCACCACCAACUUCACCUCCUACUCCGCACUUUCUAUUUCUAUACUUAGCAAGCUGGAAGCAUGUACAAGAAUGUAAAGAAAAAGAUUGAGAGGGGCAUUGCUUUCCCAACUUGUAUUUCGGUCAACAACACUGCAUGUCAUUACUCACCAUUGGCCAGUGAUGAGACUAUCUUGGAAGAGAAUGAUGUUGUGAAAAUUGACAUGAGGGUGUCAUAUAGAUGGUUUUAUUGCGGUUGUUGCACACAUGUACUUCAAGAAGGACCUGUGAUUGGAAGAGCAGCGGAUAUGAUUGCAGCAGCUAACACUGCUGCAGAGGUUGCCCUGAGGCUUGUGAGAUCAUGGAAAGAAGUUACCUUGUCGAUUUAUUGGAAGUAAUACACUUAGUUUUGCAGCUUAUGGACAAGCUGCAGGCAUGCGGUACCUUGAGGGAACUUGGAUUUGAUUAUCUUGGAAGCAAAGAGCAGCUUGCCAUGAGGCUACAAGCAAACUGGAAUAUUUAAACAGUUGUUCCAUUCUUUCUUUUCUUUCACAUUUUCCUCUCUUUCCAUUGUGUUUCUUUUUUUCCUUCAUGGAUUACAAGCAAACUGGAAUAUUUAAACAGGCUUUUGAGCGUUGACUUGGAAAUGGAAAUGAAUGUAACUAUUUUGCAAUGGGAACAAAUUCUUUGUUUAUCAUAAUAUGCAACUUGUUUGGAGUAUAAUUUAAUGUU
Asparagus officinalis (garden asparagus) is the source of this 1242-nucleotide RNA transcript. It is a transcript of the gene named ERBB-3 BINDING PROTEIN 1-like, with no coding region annotated. Lineage: Eukaryota; Viridiplantae; Streptophyta; Magnoliopsida; Asparagales; Asparagaceae. The transcript has 5 exons. The record is from RefSeq and is a predicted model, not a curated record.